This 504-nucleotide ribosomal RNA is filed under the name uncultured bacterium. Its description in RNAcentral is "partial 16S ribosomal RNA". It matches the Rfam family "Bacterial small subunit ribosomal RNA", at positions 28 to 507 of the family's 1533-position model. The record is from RNAcentral.
GACGAACGCUGGCGGCGUGCUUAACACAUGCAAGUCGAACGGUGAAGCGCUUGCCUUUUUGGUUGGUGUGGAUGAGUGGCGAACGGGUGAGUAACACGUGAGUAACCUGCCCUCUUCUUCUGGAUAACCUCAUGAAAGUGGGGCUAAUACGGGUUAUUCCGGGUCUGUCGCAUGGCGGGUUUGGGAAAGAUUGCGCCUUUGGGUGUUUUCGGUGGGGGAUGGGCUCGCGGCCUCUCAGCUUGUGGGUGGGGUGAUGGCCUGCGAAGGCGGUGACGGGUAGCGGGGCUGAGGGGGUGGAGGGCGAGAGUGGGAAGGGGACACGGCCGAGGGUCCUGCGGGAGGGAGCAGUGGGGAAUAUUGCGAAAGGGGAGCAAGCCUGAUGCAGCGACGCCGGGUGCGGGAUGGAGGCCUUCGGGUUGUGAGCCUCUUUCGCGAGUGAAGCAGGCCUGCUCCUGUGUGGGUGGGUUGACGGUAGCUGGAUAAGAAGCGCCGGCUAACUACGUG